Molecule: long non-coding RNA, 2293 nt
Organism: Equus asinus (donkey)
Lineage: Eukaryota; Metazoa; Chordata; Mammalia; Perissodactyla; Equidae
Source: Ensembl
GGCCACAGCCCUGCCUGGCAGCUCCAAGGGAAUAGGUAAACAGAGAGAAGACAAACAUCAACAAGAAAGAGUGUAACUUACAAAGCACAUGUUUCCAGGGAGAAGAAUCCAGAGAAAACAUUAAAUGGUUGUCUGGAGCCCCCACCCAAGAUGAUAAAGAAGUGUCCUUGUUAACCCUGGGGAAGCUGACACUCCACCCCCUUGAUCUUCUUGUUCCAGCCCUGUGACCCCAGGAACCGUCUGCUGCAACUAGCACCCAGGAGCUCGUCUCUCUAUUUCUCACCCCAGCGUCUCUCCUCUGGCCCCUUCAUCUCACCUUCUUCCUUCCCACCCAGCACCCAGACCCUGCACUCAGGCAGGUGGGAGUUGGAGUCCUUGCUGGGUGACCGUGGUCAGGGCCCAACAGGAGACCAACAGCACUUGUGAGAAGAUUAACUGAGGACAGGUCACAUGAGUUAAGAGAGGAUAACUUUAGAGAUGCUGGGAACUUCCUCGCCUGAUCUACCAAAGUCACAGGCAGGAACGAAUCUUUCUCAGAACCCUCCAGAAGACUCCUCUCCACUCCUAUUGGCCAGAAUUGCAUUACAUGUUCAGGCUGAAUCUAUUACUAGCAAGAGGAAGAGUUGCUCACAUUGGCUUAACGUCAUCAAGACCCACGCUCUGGAAGCUGGGGUUGGUCCCAUCUCUCCUGGAUGCACAGGGGCCUCUCUGAGGAGGAGAUAGUGACUGGAAUUGAGGUUUGGUUAGGAAGGAAUGUGGGCUCCUUGCCCCUGGGGGAGGCAACCUAACAGUGCCUGCUGUAGGAACCUACCCACAUACUUGAGAAAGUCUGGCAAGCUUGGAGACCCUGGUAGGACAGAAGAUGAUGGACAAACCAAUAAGCUCAGGGCAGGAUGUCUUUUCAAGGAUGCUGACUUCUGGUCCUCAUUGUCCACACAGGUGAGGGGAGCUCUGUUCUAGGAAACCGGAUGGAGAACGGACAAAGGCUAACCUAGUGAAUGUCCUUUCAGUAUACACUUGCAAAUGUAAAAUAAUUUUAUAUUUUUAUCUGUAUAAAUAUCAAAGUAUAGAUCUAGAAUGGAGUUAAAAGAUGGAGGAGAUUGAAUUCUCAAUGUCAAGCACUCAGGUACUCUCUAGCUGUGCUUUACACUUUCCCGGGUUUCUCGGGAGUGGUCUUCUAGAUACUGACUCAUUAGACAACUAUGUGUCAGAACACUUUUACCAGUUCUUAAUCAGGAACAUGUGGUCCCUGUACCCAUAAGGAGGCCAAGAGCUUUCAAGUGAAGUUUUCACAUCAUCAUAAACUGUCUACAGGUGAAAGGAUGUAUUUACCUUUCUGGGUCACACCCGGUCCUGGCUGGAAGACUGUUAUUUCAUGAAGUCUAGACAUAUUAUUCUCCCCAAGCACACACCUGCACACCGUGUGACUCAACCACCACAGAGCCAGCACACAGCCACCUGGCCUCUCACACCACCCCGCUCUUUGAGUGACUCACAACCUCUUUUUACCCAUUCUUGUCCCUUCUAUCACCUGAGACAGGACUUCUGGACCUUAUGUUGAAGUUUUAGGAGUGAGUUUUUAUAAUAUUUAGGUACAAGCUAGUAAUUUGCCAGGAAUACAGCUUACUGAGACAAAUGAGUGAUCUCUCCAGUCAAAUUGCCAGUCCUUUCCUUAGUAAAGGCAGCAUUUCCUCAUCCCAGGGGCUACUGGAUGGGCUCAAGGGGACAGAUAGCAAAUUCUACCUCAAAAGGGUGAAAAAUGAAACAUCUUAGCUGCAUCCAAAGUCACCAGUGGGGGACAUGAUUGUUAAUUGGAGGCCCUACUGAUGUCAUUUGUUAAACAGAUAAACGUGUCCACCAAUAGUAAGUGACCCGUCCACUGGUAGGUAAGACAAGGUCUGUUGGGUCAAAAUCCUACUUGUGGCAGGCUACUCUUCCUUCAAGGCCCUGACGGUCCUAUCCUUCUACAAAAAUUUCUUCCUGGGGCCCGACCGGGGGCAUAAUGGUCAAGUUUGCAUCCACUGCUUUGGCAGCCCAGGGUUCGCAGGUUCAGAUUCUGGGCGCAGACCUAUACACUGCUCAUCAAGCUAUGCUGUGGCAGCAUCCCACAUACAAAAUAGGGGAGGAUUGGCACAGAUGUUAGCUCAGCGAUAAUCUUCCUCAAGCAAAAAGAGGAAGAUUGGGAACAGAUGUUAUCUCAGGGCCAAUCUUCCUCACCAAAAAAACCCCAGAAAAAUAUCCCACAAAAUUUCUUCCUACUCUCUCAGGGAGGCAGCACCAUAUAGAAGUCAAG